Molecule: ribosomal RNA, 89 nt
Filed under: Trichomonas vaginalis G3
Lineage: Eukaryota; Parabasalia; Trichomonadida; Trichomonadidae
Source: RNAcentral
CUCCACUCCGAACCUGGAAAUUAAGCAGUCGCGGGCCACAUCAGUACUGGGCUGGGCGACUUCCCGGGAACGUGCGGUGCUUGCUUCUU